This 541-nucleotide ribosomal RNA is filed under the name Spirobranchus taeniatus. RNAcentral describes it as "SSU rRNA". It matches the Rfam family "Eukaryotic small subunit ribosomal RNA", at positions 134 to 664 of the family's 1831-position model. The record is from RNAcentral. Lineage: Eukaryota; Metazoa; Annelida; Polychaeta; Sabellida; Serpulidae.
GAUGUCUGGAUAACUGUGGCAAUUCUAGAGCUAAUACAUGCAAUCAAGCUCCAACCUUCGUGGGACGAGCGCUCUUAUUAGACCAAGGCCAACCUGCUGGGCAACUGGCAGUUAGCUGUGGUGACUCUGGAUAAACACAGUUGAUCGCACGACUUUACGUCGGCGACGUAUCUUUCAAGCGUAUGCCCUAUCAGCUGUCGACGGUAGGGUAGCGGCCUACCGUGGCAUCAACGGGUAACGGGGGAUCAGGGUCCGAUCCCGGAGAGUAAGCCUGAGAGACGGCUUACACAUCUAAGGAAGGCAGCAGGCGCGCAAAUUACCCAAUGGGGAAACCCUGAGGUAGUGACAAGAAAUAACAAUACGCGACUCUUUCGAGGCCGCGUAAUUGGAAUGAGCACAGUCUAAAUCCUUUAGCGAGGAUCAAUUGGAGGGCAAGUCUGGUGCCAGCAGCCGCGGUAAUUCCAGCUCCAAUAGCGUAUAUUAAAGUUGCUGCAGUUAAAAAGCUCGUAGUUGACAAUCGGCGCUCGUCUCGGUGGUCCUG